AGUCAUACACGGUUUAUUAAU
This 21-nucleotide microRNA is filed under the name Panagrellus redivivus. RNAcentral describes it as "prd-miR-7952-5p". The record is from miRBase by way of RNAcentral. Lineage: Eukaryota; Metazoa; Nematoda; Chromadorea; Rhabditida; Panagrolaimidae.